Molecule: long non-coding RNA, 5165 nt
Filed under: Homo sapiens (human)
Lineage: Eukaryota; Metazoa; Chordata; Mammalia; Primates; Hominidae
Description: non-protein coding lnc-SRBD1-1:3
Source: RNAcentral
AAUACGGAAAAAGUGAGCCGAGGAGACAACGGUGGAGAGCUGGCGAGGCUGCCCGGGGUCGCAGCGGCGGGCGGGUCAGCCGGGGGGCGGGGACCCCGCGCGGGACCCCGGGGUGCGGCGGCGCUGGGCUGGAUGCGCGUGCCGGGGGCCGUGGAUGGCCAUGGAUGGGCCCCGCCGGGCCGCGUAUCUCUCGGGGACCCUGCGGCCAACACUGUCUUUUAGAGCCGGGGAUGGGGGAGUGGAGGGGGCCCUGUUGCCCUAGAGGCCUCGGGACCCUUCCCUUGCCCACCCCCACUCGGGCCGCGGCGGGCAGGAGCAGUCUGCGGAGUUCUGGCCCAUCUGUCACUCUGUCCCGGGACGCUGUGAUCCACGGCGGUGGGGGAGGGGGAAGGGGGAGGGACAAGCAUGGCUCGGGUGAAGUUUUAAACUCUGUUCUUCUCUCUUGCCUUUCUUUGGGGACAUUCUCCCCUUUGGGAUCUGUCCUGGACUUCGCAGGCUGCGAGAACUUGUUGACAAGUGAAAGCUCGGUAGAGCCCCGGCUUGGUUUGUGGUCUGCUUAUUUUUUGCAAAGUGACUGUUCCUGUUUGCGCUGGUCCUUAUCGGUGCCCCUUUGGGGGACUUCGGCACUGAUCAGCGCGCUGACAGCCGCCGUCCGGGCUGCGGGAAAAUGGGGCGCGCCCUCCGGGGGGCGAGUGGCUGUGUCCUUGCUAAUUUCCUCCGUAACCUUUAAACUCUCGCUGGAAGCUACCGCCGCGGCUGGUCACGUGAGGAGAGCCCUGGGCUGCUGGGGAAAAAUUUCCUCGGCUGGGAGCCGGGACCGGGCCGGCGGCCGGCGAGGGACUGCCCCGCGCCCGAGACUGGGAACCUGGGAGGGCAGGGCCGGAGCGCUGGGCCCCGGGGCGCGGCCCAGCUGGGACACCCGCGAAGACGGCGGCGGUGAAGAGGUCGGCUCCGCUGCCGGGGAGCUGGGGAUUAUGCAAAUGGGGAAAGAAAACCUCCGCCCUCGCCCUUCUGCCAAGUCAAGUCUGGGAAUUUGGCAUGUGAUGGAAGGCAGUGGCAAAUAUGGCUUGAUCUUCUGAAAAUGCAUUUGGGAAGCAGAGCCAGCACCAAAGUGAGAUGAGUGAGAUACUUUUCAGAGGCAAAAUGUAAAGGGUACCAAUAAACGUAAUCAAGAUAAAGAUUUAAUACAAUUUUUUAAAAAUAAAAAUGUGAGAAUCCAGAAUGGACACAAUAUCCACAUUUUAAAUAAUUUUAAAUAUUGCACUAAAAUAUUUAUACUACUGAGUUUAUUGGCACCUGUUAAAUUUUGUACCUGAGCCGAGUGCGUCACUCAUCUCACCCUAGUCCUGAUCCUGUUGGGAAGUCUGGAAAGUCAAGGAUUUCAUGGAGUUAGGGAUCCUUGACUAAUUGGUGCUUCAUAUGUUCUCAUUACUUGCUUUGGGUAAGUCUUGUACAGGCAGGAGCCACCAUGCCCAGCCCCCAAAUAUAUUAAAUAGGGUCUGUUACCAUCUCAGUGACUGUCUUAAAACAACCUACAAACUUCCAGCACCAUUUCCUAGCAUGCUGGCUCAGCAGACUGUUACUCCGUGUAAAUCACCAGACUGCAAUUCUCAAGGGCGACCAAUGCUUGUCUCCUUUCCAUUACAGCAACUCUUUUGGAGCAAGGGUAAUAAAAGACUUUGUCAAACAAAAUACAUGUUUUGUAUUGGAUUAAUGUUUACAUAAAAAGGGAGAAUGCUGGUAGUCUGCAUGCAAACACUGCUAGUUUCCUGCCCUUAUUACCUCCUUAUUUCUAAAUAAAUCUCUCGCCUUCCUACUCUCAAACUUGGCCAAAUGAAAAGUUGAAUUCCCCAGGGACAUCAUGGAGAUGCCAGGUCCAAAAUAACCCCCUGCUCCAGGUUUCAUGUGAAAAGAAAAUCCCAAGGAGGGGGCUUAGACGGUAAAAUUCCAAUAGGAAAUUAUUGCCAGCUUCAUCCUUCCCUCAGCCCCUGUCUCCAAUCCCAAAGGAUAAGACAGUGGUUAGCAUAUACAUUGAGUAAAAUGACCUUUGGAUUCCAACUAUGGCCUAGUUAUUUCAUAAUCUUUGUGAGAAGGAAGAAAAUGAUACAAUAAUUUAACAAAGAUGACCAAAAUGGAGCCUUUCUCCUUUCAAAAUUAAGGCUUAUGAGAAAAGAAUAGAACAACAGAUGUGGCCAGGACAGGGCGAUCAGUGUUGCAAUAGGUCUAUGGAUGGGAGUGGCACAGAAGAAGGAUCACCCCUUUGCCUGGGGAGCCUGGGAAGGCAUCAACCAGCAGAAUCCUUUGAGCUGAGUCUAGGCUUUCCAACAGGAGUUCUUCCAGCAGCAAAGAGGGAAGGGAAGGGUACUGGCUGCAAAAAGUAUAAUGUGUACAGGUAGGAAAGCCAUGACUCUUCAGGUAAGCGGCCAGGUGUGCCCCACUUGUGGCAGGUAGUAACAGGAGAUGAAGUAAGUAGGAACCUGAUAGUUAAGACCUCAGAGGGCCUGCAGAUGGGUCUCAACUUUUUCCUGGAGAGACACCAAACAUUCCAGCGGGCAAGCAGCAUAACUAGAGUUAAUACUUUACAAAGGCGAUUUUGUGAUGGAUAAAUAUUUUUCUCUUCUGUAAUUUUCCUCCAGAAGGCUCACCUCAAAACAGGGUAUUAGACAAAGAGAAGAUCCAAGUCUGAAGAUGAUUUACACUCUGUAUAAUCAAAAUUGAAACUGUCUGUGGAUACUGUUUAGAUCAGCUGGAGGAAGCGGGGAAGGGGGAGCCAGAACCGUAGACUAGCGCGUUAAUAUUCAUGUCCCUGUUGCUGUGCUGGUUGUUGCCAUUUAUAGAAUGUUAAUGGGCUUCUGCAAAGGUCUGCCUGGUCAGGGUCUAUCAUACAUUCCACACAUGCUCCGCUGAACAGAAUCCAACCACCUGGGCCAUGGGAUGGAACGCGCAGCAGUAUAAUGACACAGAAACCUUCUAGAGCUCCGCUGGUCCUGCCCCAGCCUAGCCCCCACCCGACCCUGAGCCCCACUUCAAACUUUGCCCCACACCUAUACUCCUGUGGUGGGCUUUUGUCUGCCCUGCCAUGUCUUCUUAUUUUGGCCCCAUCUCAGCUCCGAAUUCUGGCCCCAUCUCUGCUCUAUAUUCUGUUGCAGUGACUCAGGCCAAGCUUCACUUAAUACCUGCAAAGAGGUGGAGGGAUCAGAGGCAGCCCUAUCGAGCUUGCUGAUGGAUGCAGAAGGAGAUGGCCUGGUGCCCCUAUUCCUCAGGGCCUGUGACUGUGAGCCCUACUCACUAGGAUGCCAUUUGGAGAAUAGCAUAACAUUCUUCAUCUUCUGUGGGUCAGAUGUUGGGUUGUGUCUUGGGAUUUUUUUUUUAUAAGGGACAGAGUCUCACUCUGUUGACCAGGCUGGAGUACAGUGACACAAUCACAGUUCACUGCAGCCUUGGCCUCCCAGACUUGAGCAAUUCUCCCACCUCAGCCUCCUGAGUGGCUGGGACUAAAGCCAUGUGCCACCAUGCCCAGCUAAAGUUUUUUGAUUGUUUUUGUAGAGAUGGGGUCUCACUAUGUUGCUCAAGCUGGUCUUGAACUCCUGGACUCUAGUGGUCCUCCUGCAUCAGCCUCCCAAAGUGCUGGGAUUACAAGUGUGAGCCACCGUGCCUGGCCCCUGUCUUGGACUUUUAAGAUCAUAUGUCAAUCCAAGGGUCUUUACUAAGUACUUGCUAUAUAUAGGAUACUAGGGCAGGUGCUCCAGGGAGGAUAAAUAGCUAUAUGGAUAAUCCCUACUCUACCUGGGGAGAUGAGUAGAUCAAUUCAGUCGGUCCUUUAUUUAACAGUCAGUAGUGUCAUGUCAUGUCAUUUGGAGCACUAGGGAAACAAAAAAUGACAACACAAAAUGGCCCUUUAUUAGUCAGGAUUGGCUAGGUCAUGCUGCUGUAAUAAGCUCUCCCCAGAUCCCAACACCUUAAAAGAACAAAGCUUUCUUCUCAUGCAUGCUGUAAGUCUAUGGCAGGUUGGUUGGGAGCUCUGCUUCCCAUUAGCGUCAUUCUCACUUCUGGAUCCAGGCUGGCUAAAAAGUUACCAUCUGGAACAUGGCUGGUCAUGGGCAGAGAGAAAAAGGAUGUCUGGAGGGUCUUACACAGGCAAUUAAAUAGUCCACCUGGUGGCUCAUGCCUGUAAUCCCAGCAUUUUGGGAGGCCCUGGGUAGCAAAACCUCAUCUCUACAAAAUAAAAUAAAAUUAAAUUAAAUUAAAAAAACAUAGCUGAGCAUGGUGACGGGUGCCUGUAAUCCCUGCUACCUGGGAGGCUGAGGUGGGAGAAUUGCUUGAGGAGGCUGCAGUGAGCCAAGAUUGUGACACUGCACUUCAGCCUAGGCAACAGAGCCAGACCCUGUCCCCCACCUGCCCCCCACCCAAAAAAAUCCAUCUGGAAGUGCUAAAUAUCAUUUGUGCCCACUAAUUGUUAGCUAGAACCAGUCUCAGAUCCCGCCUUCCCCAACCACAGGGUCUGGGAAGUUCUACCAUCUGUACUGUCAAGGAGCAUGGAAUGUUUGGUGAAUAGCACUGAAGACUGCCAUAGACACUAUUCUCAAAUGACAGGUGCAGAAAGGUAAUUCAAGGUGGCACACAAUAAAUAACAAAUAAUCAGCCCACUCAGAAAGCACUAUAGGAACUUAGGGUAGCAAUAAUCACAGUAAGAGUCAGACUGUUUGACCGUCCUCCCUCCCUUUUGCUCUGGGCCACUGCAUACAGAAGACUCCAGAUGACAUGGAGAAUCCUGCCUAAUAUCAGAACCAGCAGCCAUCCAAGCUCCUUUCCCCUCCCCGUUAUAUGCUUAACACCUCAUGGGACGUGCAGUUCCUUAAAGCCACUUUAGAACCACGGCAGCACAAAGGAGGCAUUUGGGCCCAACAGAACUGAGAAGACUUACUUGUUAAACUCUGUGGGAUUUGAGGGAUCACUUGGUUUGUUUAAUUAAUUAAUUAAGUUUUUGAAAUGGAGUCUUGCUUUGUCACCCAGGCUGCAGUGCGGUGGCACACAAUCUCGUCUCACUGCUGCAACCUCAACCUCCCAGAUUCAAGCAAUUCUCCUGCCUCAGCCUCCUAAGUAACUGAGAUUAUAGGCACACACCACCAUGCCCAGCUAAUUUUUGUAUUUUUUUUUAGUACAGA